UAGAGUUUGAUCCUGGCUCAGGACGAACGCUGGCGGCGUGCCUAAUACAUGCAAGUCGAACGCUUCUUUUCCCACCGGAGCUUGCUCCACCGGGAAAAGAGGAGUGGCGAACGGGUGAGUAACACGUGGGUAACCUGCCCAUCAGAAGGGGAUAACACUUGGAAACAGGUGCUAAUACCGUAUAACAAUCGAAACCGCAUGGUUUCGUUUUGAAAGGCGCUUUACGGUGCCGCUGAUGGAUGGACCCGCGGUGCAUUAGCUAGUUGGUGAGGUAACGGCUCACCAAGGCCACGAUGCAUAGCCGACCUGAGAGGGUGAUCGGCCACAUUGGGACUGAGACACGGCCCAAACUCCUACGGGAGGCAGCAGUAGGGAAUCUUCGGCAAUGGACGAAAGUCUGACCGAGCAACGCCGCGUGAGUGAAGAAGGUUUUCGGAUCGUAAAACUCUGUUGUUAGAGAAGAACAAGGGUGAGA
Molecule: ribosomal RNA, 475 nt
Filed under: Enterococcus mundtii
Lineage: Bacteria; Bacillati; Bacillota; Bacilli; Lactobacillales; Enterococcaceae
Description: bacterial SSU rRNA
Rfam family: Bacterial small subunit ribosomal RNA
Source: RNAcentral